GACGAACGCUGGCGGCGUGCUUAACACAUGCAAGUCGAACGGAAAGGCCCUGCUUUUGUGGGGUGCUCGAGUGGCGAACGGGUGAGUAACACGUGAGUAACCUGCCCUUGACUUUGGGAUAACUUCAGGAAACUGGGGCUAAUACCGGAUAGGAGCUCCUGCUGCAUGGUGGGGGUUUGAAAGUUUCGGCGGUUGGGGAUGGACUCGCGGCUUAUCAGCUUGUUGGUGGGGUAGUGGCUUACCAAGGCUUUGACGGGUAGCCGGCCUGAGAGGGUGACCGGGCACAAUGGGACUGAGAGACGGCCCAGACUGCAACGGGAGGCAGCAGUGGGGAAUAUUGCACAAUGGGCGGAAGUCUGAUGCAGCAACGCCGCGUGCGGGAUGAAGGCCUGCGGGUUGUAAACCGCUUUCGCCUGUGACGAAGCGUGAGUGACGGUAAUGGGUAAAGAAGCACCGGCUAACUACGUG
RNAcentral lists this ribosomal RNA (468 nucleotides) under uncultured bacterium. RNAcentral's name for it is "partial 16S ribosomal RNA". It matches the Rfam family "Bacterial small subunit ribosomal RNA", at positions 28 to 507 of the family's 1533-position model. The record is from RNAcentral.